Molecule: ribosomal RNA, 253 nt
Filed under: uncultured bacterium
Lineage: Bacteria
Description: partial 16S ribosomal RNA
Rfam family: Bacterial small subunit ribosomal RNA
Source: RNAcentral
UACGUAGGGACCGAGCGUUGUCCGGAUUCAUUGGGCGUAAAGAGCUCGUAGGCGGCUGCUCAAGUCGAAUGUGAAAACUCGAGGCUCAACCUCGAGCCUGCAUUCGAUACUGGGCGGCUAGAGUCUGGUAGGGGGAUCUGGAAUUCCUGGUGUAGCGGUGGAAUGCGCAGAUAUCAGGAGGAACACCGGUGGCGAAGGCGGGAUCCUGGGCCAGUACUGACGCUCAUACACGACAGCAUGGGGAGCGAACGGG